This 100-nucleotide ribosomal RNA is filed under the name Radula acuminata. RNAcentral's name for it is "partial 5.8S ribosomal RNA". It matches the Rfam family "5.8S ribosomal RNA", at positions 56 to 154 of the family's 154-position model. From Rfam's summary of the family: 5.8S ribosomal RNA (5.8S rRNA) is a component of the large subunit of the eukaryotic ribosome. It is transcribed by RNA polymerase I as part of the 45S precursor that also contains 18S and 28S rRNA. The record is from RNAcentral. Lineage: Eukaryota; Viridiplantae; Streptophyta; Jungermanniopsida; Radulales; Radulaceae.
CGAUACCUAGUGUGAAUUGCAGAAUUCCGUGAAUCAUCGAGUUUUUGAACGCAAGUUGCGCCCGAGGCUCGUCUGAGGGCAUGCCUGCCUGAGCGUCCGC